UGGGGAAUAUUGGACAAUGGGCGAAAGCCUGAUCCAGCCAUGCCGCGUGUGUGAAGAAGGCCUUUUGGUUGUAAAGCACUUUAAGCGAGGAGGAGGCUACCGAGAUUAAUACCCUUGGAUAGUGGACGUUACUCGCAGAAUAAGCACCGGCUAACUCUGUGCCAGCAGCCGCGGUAAUACAGAGGGUGCGAGCGUUAAUCGGAUUUACUGGGCGUAAAGCGUGCGUAGGCGGCUUUUUAAGUCGGAUGUGAAAUCCCUGAGCUUAACUUAGGAAUUGCAUUCGAUACUGGGAAGCUAGAGUAUGGGAGAGGAUGGUAGAAUUCCAGGUGUAGCGGUGAAAUGCGUAGAGAUCUGGAGGAAUACCGAUGGCGAAGGCACUCUGCUGGGCCGACACUGACAC
RNAcentral lists this ribosomal RNA (400 nucleotides) under uncultured bacterium. Its description in RNAcentral is "bacterial SSU rRNA". It matches the Rfam family "Bacterial small subunit ribosomal RNA", at positions 355 to 746 of the family's 1533-position model. The record is from RNAcentral.